GGCUGUUAUGCUAGUUGGAAAUUCCCAAUCUGGUUUCUGCAGCAAUAAAGGGCCCCAAGUGUAGAUAUUGAGUCAUGCACCCAGUUGUGAUAUUCAAGGCCUUUACUAUAAGCAGUCUUGAAAAUGUGAUAAUUAUUUUAUUUAAUAAGUGCUAGUAUACAUAUAUAUGUGUGAAUAUUCCUACCUAAAUAAAUGGGAUCGUGUACUCGUACAAGGAUUUGGAAGACUGUCCAUAUAACUUAAUGUUCCAACUCAUUCAGGGUUCACUUAAAAAACAGAUUUAUUAAGGAACAAAUGAGCUAAUACAAUUUUUUUUAAGUUACUGUAAUCACUCUUAAAGCACAUUAUGCCAUAUGAUGAGAUCCUUUGAUAGCAAAUACUGAUAGCAUAUCCAUGUGCUCUUUGUUGCAGCUUUGCAUUACUCUCAAAACGUGUUUCCCCACAGUCUGUAGAAGCAGUGAAGUUAUAAUAUUGGCUCUGGUUCUACAUUCUUACCAGUCAAGAUCAUUCACUGAUUCCUGGAUGUCAGGAUCAAUGGUGGUGGCCAUAUGGCUUUGGAAUGAUCUGUUGUCUUUUCCGUAAUGGCACUGUGGCUUUGUGUUUCCCCAGCAGUGAUUAAUAGGCACAGACAUGCGUUCUGCACAUGUUGAUAGGUUUAGAUGAACUUAGAAUUUUUGUCUUUCUUCUCUUCUCUUUACUUUUUUUUUUCUUUUUCCUUUUUCAUGGCAGGGAGCAGGGGGAGGAGGAGUGAUUCUGCUCUGAGAAAGAAAGAACAAGGUCUUUAAUGAAUAUUCACUUCUCAGGGACAUGAUAUGAUUCAGUCAACGUGGCUAGAUGACAGAACCCAUCUAGAUCCUCAGGGAUAAUUACGACAGAAGGACUAGCUAAGAACCAGUCACAACAGGCAAUUCUACGCUGAAGAAGAACUGCUACCUUCUAAUACCUCUUCCUACCAAACCUUGGAAACCAGGCGCCAGGCGUUCAACACAGAGGUAACCCUCUGCUCCCAUCCGUACUAGCUUCAAAACUGAGGAGUUAUCACAGUGGGCAGAGCAGGUUUGCUUUUCCCAUCCCUGUGAAAAUCUCCUUAGAAGCACAGCAUAUCCCAAGCCUUCUUUCUGAAGGGCACAGAAAAGACAGGUGAAUGAAUUUAUUGGAUGUCUUGGACAACUCCUGUAGAAGGCGUGCAGUGAGUACCUGAGGUUCCUUCAUCGUGAAAUUUAUGUUGCAGCAGAUUAGACAGAAGAUUGGACAUCCUCUGAGGUGUUAAUGAUCUCCUCUAGCAGAUUUCCCAUGGAAGGAACUCCCAAGUGUUUGAGUGUUUUUGUCCAAAUGUGGUCCAUAUCAGUUCUGCCUCCUCAAAGUCCUCUUAGCCCAAACUGAGCUUGUAGUCAACUCAGACCAUACCAACCAGCUGCUUCCCUCCCCCCCUUCCCCUCCCCCCCGACCCCACCCCAGUUUUGCAUAGGUUUUGCAUAGGGAAAAACAGGAUGAAAUCCAUGUAAUAAGAGAAAUGUCUUCUACAAAUAUACAUGAGGAACAAAAGGAACUUCUGUAAGUCUAUUACUUGAUGUUGAUGGUUUAAAGUGCUAGUAAUGAGACGUUAUGAGACAGAUGCAUUCAAUAAGUAUUUCUGUUCUGGUGGAUCAAAGCUGGAAGGAAGUAUGAAUACAUUAUGAAGCUGAUGAAAUGUUUUCUGGUCUUACAGUAAAAUGGGUGAAUGCAAGUCAACUCAGAUCUGUGUCAGCAAGGCUCUAUAAAAUGGCACCGAGUCUUCUUAAGGCAGCAACUCAGGAAGUUGUACUUUCUCUAGGCAGGUAAUGAAUGCUGAGCUUGUACCCAGAGGUCAGAGGUAUGACCCAAUUAAUAGUAAGCUGGUUGGCCUAGCUUACUACUGGUCUUGGGAUCAGCAUGUAGGAAAUGGCUGAUACUGAAGACAAAAGUAAAAUCUGUUCCAAUUAAUUUAACCUUAGUGGAAUUUGAGCUUGUCAAGUCAUCCUAGUACCUCUAGUUGAAAAAACACUUCAAGAUCAGAACUGUGAUGAGUUAGUCACCUGACUGUAAAUUUUUUUAAUAUACCAUUUUUAGAAGACGCUACUUGAUUUCAACAAAGAUAUCUUAUGGGCAAUUAUCAGUGGGGAAGUCUUUCCAGAAGGGAAUCACUCAUUUCUCCUUUCCACCCAAUACAAUCUGUUUUUAAAUCACAAAUAACACAUGAACAACUGCAAAUGCACUUUUAAGAUAGUACGAAAUGUGAAAAAAUAAAGAUGACAGUGCUUUUGUUUGAAAGUGAUCAGACUCACUUCAUAACCUCGGUUCAACCAAAUGCAACCAAAACAGUUCGUCCUUAGAAACAAGAGAGCAUGAACUGUUUUUACAGGAUUGGGUACUGUAUCACAGAAAGCUUGAAAAGGUCUAUGGGGAUUGUCACAUGUAAUCAACUGUGCAUGAACUCCUACUAUAAUCUCAUUAUUAAAACAGUUACAGUGGUCACUGGAAGUACAGAGAUGGGGGCUGGGAUUGGGGAUGCAGUAUUCUGUCUGUGUAAGGAAGAAAUAGGGCCACUUUUGCAGUGGCUGUUGAAGUGGAUAGAGGAGCCAAGGGAGAAAUAGUUAAAGGAUCAGGACCUUCACAUAGGACACAUUUAUUCCAUGAUUAUUUCAUGAUGGAUUACCCCAGAAAAUAGCUUCCAAAAGUUUUUCCAUGAAACAGCAGAUCAUGCAGCUCCUCUGCUGGACCCUCCCUUAAGUCAUGUUUUCUGGAUUAUGUUCCAGAGGAAAUCAGUAGGGGUUGCAGCUUUCUGAGGUGAGUUUAGUGUUGGAUACCUGCCUAUGUGCUGUGACACGCUGCCUUGGCUAAUAAAUCGUGACCUCUGUGGUUAUAUCGGUCAAAUGCUUUCUCAGCCAGAGCAAUUUCCAGCAAAUCAGUGGGCUCCUUUCACAGUGCCCAUCUGACAAGCACGGGGUAGCGCACAGAUGGUUUAGAUAUAAAAAAGAAUGUUGCAUCAGUACUGUAUGUGUGAAAUGUUUCAAUUAUUCCUAAAAUAUUUUUAACGUGUUCCAGAUUUAUCAGGCAAAAUGUUUAGGAAGUAAUUGGAGUUUAUUCUGUUUUUAAUUUUGGUAUAGUAUAUUAUAAUAAACACAUGUUCAAAAUACAUUUUAGGUAUCACCAAAUAUUUAUAAAAUGUGUAUAGGUGGAAAUCCCAAGGUCACUACAGUAGCUUUAUUUUGCCAGUCUGUUUACAAGGAGAUGAGUCAUUAAAACCUAUGGCUGUUUCUAUCUGUACCGAGAAUCCUUCUCCUGCAGGCAGUGGAUAACCUAUUGGUUUUACAUAUUCAUGUAAGAUUAAGCUUUCUCUGAUUGCAGAGGUUGAAUUUAACCCUCCCUCAUAUUAUUUGUAAUAAUAAAAACUUCUAGUGGUAUUUCCAAGUGGACAUAUAUGUCUCAUAUUUAACAUCUGAUCAUAUUACCGUCAUUUUCCACUAUAACUAAAAGAUGAAUUAAAUAAAUGAGUAUCCCAAGCAAUUCUGUUUAGGAAAUCAGAUGAAAGAUGGUGUCAUACUUCUUGAAACACACAGUGGGCUUUUGCAAUUAGAACUAAUUGGUAUGUUGUGUGCAUCACUACCUGCCUUAAGAAAUACUGACGAAGCUUCGGGGUGGGAUGGGUGUUCUAUGGGGCUGGGGGUGAGACUGGGGGCGGGGGGGAUCUGUGGGACUGGGAGGUGGAAUUGUUCUACUAGGGAACACUGUUCCAUUUGUUUUAAAACAAAGAUUGACUGUUUGCUUUUGAUCUCCUUCUUGUCCUUGGAGAUUUCAGGUGUGGAAAAAGGCACACAUUUUCCUAGCCUGAAGAGUAAAAUAUUGCCCUCCACAAUUCUCAUUACCUUAAGUGAACUCAGUUUAUAUUUUUUGUUGUUGUUUUAUUUUUCUUUAUCCAAAGUUUAUUCAAAGUAUUCAUUAAGAAAAUCUCGAUGUAGAAACACCUUGCAUUAACCAAAGCAAAGUUGGUUUCAGUGCCCAAGACCAAGAUGCCUAAUCUCCUCCUUGCCCCAGCUGUUAGGGACAAGCAUGUUUUCCGUUUCAGCUCACAGAACAGUUGCAGUGUUGGGGGGAUGAGAAAACAGACAUGGGUUGAUCUGAGAGCAAAGAUUUGUGGUGGUAGAGCAAGACUGGCAAAGGAGGAGCCAGUGCCAUAUACAGAAGUAGCUGCAAACCCAAGAUUCCCUCAAAACGUGAUGACAUACAUGUGUAGACAUGUACUGUUUCAGCAGGUAUUGUGGUGCCCCAAAGAAACAUUUUGAAAGAUGAAAGCAUUGGGGAUUUUUGUUUUCACUGUUUUUCCUCACUUUUUUUAAGUAAAAAUGUUAAAUUCAGCUCUGUUAGAAGAUUAAGCUCAAUCCCAAACAAAAUCUAGACAUCUAGGCUGUACUGACUCCUGCUGCUGUCUUAGGAAAUAUUGACUUUUCUGAAAGAAAAACUAUUUCCUCAAUUCUAAUUUUCAUUAAAAACAUACUGUAGUACAGAUGCUGUUUUGCAAUAUUCUUUUAAUCUCUGUGGAUUUAUUUUAUGUGUUUACUCCAACAGAAAAUUCUUAUUAGCAACGAUUCUUCAACUCUUUCUCUUACCUCAGUGGUGUGGCUGACCCCUCUGUAUGCCUCAUCUGAAGGCUCACCAUCCACUGACAGUAAUCUGAGGAGGUCCAGGGACAGCAAAUGAUGGCUGAACUUGAUGAUCACAGGGGUCUUUUCCAACACCAAUGAUUCUAUAAUUUGAAUGACUUUUGACAUUGUAAGGCUGUUACACUUGUGAUCACAAAUACCUUAUGUCCACGAUAACAUUGGAAAUCUUGUUCAUUUUGCACCACUUCCAGAAAACAGCAAGAAGCUGUAUAAAAGUAUUUCAAAAGGAAGGAGCUGGUGAAGCAAGACAGCAAUUUGGUUUAUUUAUCAGUGUUAGUAAUUCCAUUCCAGCCCAUGAAGCCAGCAAGUAUGGUUCAUAUUGAGAAUAUCUAUGUGAAAAGUAAUGGCAAAUUAUGCAAAUAAAUUGGCUACAAUAAGACUUUUUCACUCUUUUUUUUUUUCAGUAGUUUAUCAUGCUGCAGUCUAAUCAAGAUAUGGUAAAGGGUGGUACAGACAUUAUUCAGGAACUUAAUGCCACAUAAACCUAAGCAAUUCAUUUUUCUAACAUUUUUAAUUGUCUGCAGAUAUACAGAUAGAGACUAACUGUAGUAAGUCCACAUUAAAUUCAUUUUAAACAAAUUUCAAGCCUAAUUUAAGAAAAUCAUGAUCUCCACUCACACUGAAGUGUGGUUUCACUUUGACAUCAGCAAAUCUAUACUGCUUGGAAAGAAAAGCUGUUUCAAGGGCUGAGCUGCUAGUUGGAACUCAGGAAUCCUGACACCACUCCAAGCCUCACAAACACGGGACCUUGGAGAUGUCAUUGGGAAUGGAACUCACCCAAAUGCACAAACCAAAAACCCAGGUAGCUGAGUUGGGUCUGGGUAUCCUCAGCAGUUAAAUGGAAAGAGAGUGACUCCUCUCAGGUUGAGAUUGGAUUCCUCGUUUUCAGAGGGUGUAAAUUAGUGUUGUGUACCUUGACUUCAGCAAGGCUUUUGUUGUUUCUCCCACAAUAUCCUUGUAAUGAAGCUUAGUAAGUGUCAGAUAGUUAAGUGGACAGUGAGGUGGAUUGAGACCUGCCUGACUGGCAGAGCUCAGGUUGUUACAAUCAACAGUGCAGAAUCUAGUUGGAGGUCUGUAACUAGCAGUGUUUCCCAGGGGUUGGUGCUGGGUCAGGUCUUGUUCAACAUCUUCAUCAAUGACCUGAAUAAACACUCAGCAAGUUUGCUGAUAAUACUAAACUGGGAGGAGUGGCUGACACACCAGAAGGCUGUGCUGCCAUUCAGAGUCCUGGACAGGUUGGAGAGUUGGGUGGAGAGGAACCUGAUGAGGUUCAUCAAGGGAAAGUGCAGAGUACUACAGAGGGGGACAAAUAACUGUGUGCAUCUGUACAGGUUAGGGUCUGACCUACUGGAAGGGAUCUCUGCAGAGAAGGACCUGGGUGUUCUGGUGGACAACAGGUUGGCCAUGAACCAGCAGUGUGCCCUCGUGGCCCUGUUGAGGCCACACAUGGAGUGCUGGAUCCAGUUCUGGGCUCCACAGUUCAAGAAAGAUGGAACUUCUAGACAGAGUCCAGCAAAGGGUCACAAAGAUGACAGGGAGCCUGGAGCAUCUUCCAUAUGAGGAAAGGCUGAGAGAUCUGUAGAAGAGAAGACUGAGAGAGGAUCACCUAACUUCAUAAAUAUCUGAAGUGUGGGAGUCAAAUGGAUGAGGCUAGGCUCUUUUCAGGACAGACAGAACAAGGGGUAAUGAGCAAAAACUGCAACAUGGGAGGUUCCAUAUAAACAUGAAGAAGAACUUAAUUGCUAUGAGGACGACAGAGCACUGGAAUAGGCUGCCCAGAGAAGAUGUGGAAUUUCCUUCUCUGGAGAUCUUCAAAACCUGCCUUCAAAACCUUCCUUACAUUCAAAACUGAAUGUAAGGAACCUGCUUCAGCAGGGGGGUUGAACUCGAUCCCUUCCAACCUUUAUGAUUCUGUGAUUCUGUGUAACAUACACAUGCACUGGACUCACUGCCGUGCUGCAUAACUGUAACUGUAAGUGGAAUCUCCCUGCACCUUGUCUAUGAAGCAUUGGUAACAACACACACUUUGUCUCAGUCACAUUGUCGGAAGGAAGGUGCUGAAAGUUGUGACACUCUCAGCAUGGACCUUCCCUGAGGUGACACCAAGACAUCUGGACUGGCCUCAGAGCCAGAGCAGCCCCUCUGUGUGGCCCUGUGAAAAGGCCAACUUGAUCACCUGAGUGCUGUGGGACCUCAGGAAUGCAGGCAGGUGCCUGCUGCAGGGCUGUGUCUCACAGACAUGCCGAUGUGCCCCAAGCCAGUGCUGGUAUCUCUAACUCCACAGGAGAGACAGGCACACCAGGAGUUUUCAGGGUUAAUUCCUGAGCCAUCCUUUUUGCAAGUGGCUUAAUCCUGCACCAAACACAUCUUGGUGGCACUUGCACUGCUGCUUCAGAGUCCCAUGAGAGGAUAAGGACAGUCUCAGCUUGCUCCCGAUGCUGAGGGUUGCACUCAUGCCUGCAGGAGCACUUUUCUGCCUGUAUGUAGGGUUUGAAAGAAGCAGUGGCUUUAUUGUCCCCAAAUCAAAGCUGCAUCUAAAUAGCUCUGACAAUAGAAACAAUUUAUGCGCAUAAACAUUAGUUGCAUGCUUUCUAAUUACAAGAUCAGGCACUUCAUACAGCCAUUACUGUAAUACUUCUAAACAUCCAUGAGUUUACUAACUGAACCCUGCUGAGGCUCACAUUAACACUUAGUAAAUGGACUAUUCAGAAAAUGGCAUGGUAAGAGUUACACCUCUAAGUAAUAUUCUAUAGAGCUGCAUACAAAUUGUAACCACAUUUUCAUAAGUGAUAAAAUGUUUUAUCCUCUUUUGAAAAAUAAAUGCCAUAAAAGCCAAAUGCAGUUCAUAAUGACAAAGGCAAGGAAGGAUACAGCUAGGCAGCGUUCAAGAGGUUUGGAAUUCACAUUGUUGAGUUGGAUGUAAUGUAGAAUCUGGGCACCUAAAUACCCUUGUGGGUCUGGCAAGAAGUUCUUGGCCACAAAGUAUGGGCAGGGAAAUGGAAGAAAAUUCAGAGUUGCUAAUGUGGUUCUACUUUAAGGACUAGCUAAGUGAAACUGGCACCUGUAUGAUGUUAGUGAGACUCCUGAGCUUAUUCCAUACGCCUUGCUUUCUUAAGUGAUGAAAAACCCUUUUUUUGAGGCUGGUUCAUCAGUAAGAAAAGGAUGUCCCAGGUCCCAGUGUACUUCACUCAUGUGUCCCCUUUCUCUUGCAUGGCUGUGACAGAACUUCAUUCCUUCUGUAAAGCCUUUAUCCAUGUUAAUACAAACUAGUGGGAAAAAAAAAAAAAAAAAGGAAUUUUUUGAAAAGAAAAAAAAUGAUCUGUUUUUUCAAACAAAAGAUUUUGGGAGAAAAAAUGUUUUACUGAGCAAACCACCUUAAAAAAACACAAGUCAUGUAACUAAGAAAAGAUGGAGAGAGACAUUGAAAAGUUAGGAAAACCCAAGCAUUCCCUAUUUUCCACUUUGAUAUAUUCCAAAAGAUUAAAAAUCUCAAGUCAGAUAAGUAAGGUACCCUGACGUAUGGCUUUGAUUAAAAAAGAACAUUCCAAAAUAGAGGAAGAAAUAGAAAGUUUCUUCAUGCAUGCGUCCCCACUUUAGGUUGCUGCUGUAUGAAAGGAGAAGACAGAAAGCAAAACCAGAAAAAAAAAUGUUAUAAGACCUCUUCCUGAAAAAACACUAGAAAUGAUUGUUUCUUUUUCUAGAAAAAGAGUGCAUGUCCUCUUAGUCAUAAUUAAAAUAGGCGAAUUUGGAAGGAAUAUAAAUGUUUCUGCUACAGGACGUAUCAACAGAUAAAUAGUUAAAUGGACAAUUUGUGAACAAUUAGCCUGUAGUUUUCCUGCUUGCAAUGUUUCUUCCAUUCUCCAAAAUCACUGCUACUGCCCAAUCAGGAGGAGCUUUUCUGGCCCAAAAGGGUGGGCUGAACCCUUUUUUUGGAUGAAGCAGCUCGCAUACUUUGGCAAAUGCCUACACUAGAAAAUGAAAACCACCCCUAGAACUCUCCAGUUCCUAAAGUUUCUUUGCUCCUAGUUUAAUCCCUUCCCACAACUGUCCCUGAAAGCACAGCAUGAGUUUGUCCUUUUCUAUUGACAAACAGCAAUGGGGCUGAGUAGACGUGCCUACUCCAAAACCUACAUUACAUGAACAACCUCUACAAGAUUUUAGUCAUACCCUUCACAUCUGAGCUCAAAAUAAUUCUUUCUCCAUUUCUCCAAAACAAUUGUAGGCCACAUGGCAAGUAGAAAAUAAAUAACUCCAUCUUACCACUAACCCUCCUUUUUGGCUAAAUGGAUGACUGCAAUUGCACAGCCUGCAGAUUUUCAAAGCAUUGUGCUUCUCGAAGCUGGCGAGCAGGAGACGAAUAUAGUGCUGUGAGAUGCCUUUACAUAUCUCUACAGCAUUUCUACUGAAGGGAGUUAUAGCAGCUGCUCCUUUAGAGAGGGAACUUGCGUCUUGGAGCUGCUCAAGUGGGAAACAAUUCCCAGGCCAGCCCUGCCAUGACGCUGUGGGCGAUCGCCAAUCGAUUCCAGGUGCAGCUCACCAAGUACAGCAUGUCCCAGAUUUCUCAUGGAUGAGCUGGUGCCAUUCUGAGACUUUCCACCGCUUGAACAAAGCUAAAAGUUAGCUUUUCUACAGAGAGUUGUGCUUACACAUGGGAACAGUAAUUUUGUCACCAGUCUCAAUAUGCUUAGGCAUCUGAUCUACCCUCGUGUUUAUGAUUCUUCCCAUCUUUCAUUUUGAUUUUAUAUCCUCAUCCCCGUGGGAGUCUUUUGCAAAAUAUUUUAUAGGCAGAGGGAUUAUAGAACGUGGUGCCAAUGAAUAAGGCAGCAUCCAGAAUCAGCCUGUCAUUGCAACAUAUUGUGUGUUUCAAGAAAGAGCUCCACCACCAGCACUGCAAAGGCAACUUCUGCAGGGGGGCUGUGAGAGAAGGUGCAAAGAAAAUGAAGCCACUUUAUUUCCAGUGGUUCCCUGCGUCAGGCAAAGAGGCAAUGGGCACAAACUGGAGCACAGGAGGUUCCCUCUGAACACCAGGCAGCACUUUUUUUCUCUGUGUUCACUGAAAACUGGCACAGGGUGCCCAGAGGAGCUGUGUGAACCUCUUCCUUGGAGAUCUCCAAAAGCUGCCUGGACAUGGGUCUGGGCACCCUACUGUGGGUGCCCCUGUUGGGCAGGGGUUGGGCCAGGUGGACCCAGAGGUCCCUUCCAACCUCAGCCAUUCAAUGAAUCUGUGCCCUGUCACAAGCCUGUUUGAUCAUCCUCAUCACUGGUUAGGACCGCACUGUUUUGUCUUCUCCUCUUGUUCCAGGCUCCUGGCUCAUGUAUGUAACAGUAAAACAAACAUGACCUCAAUCCCUAGCAUGGGAUAGUGCAGCCUGAGCAGUUCCUUUGUUCUCCUCAUGAGGCUUUUUCUGGUGCCAACCCAACCUUUCCAAAGGUAGGGCCAGGAUCUUCUUGCAGGAAAACCAAGGCCAGGAGUUGCUGCUGGUAGACAGCAGGAACAAAGGUGCCCUUUUUGGGGCAAGGACAAGAGUGUGUCUGCAUGUGCACUGUGACAGGCAGUUGCUCUUGAAGCAAAGGGUCCAUACGUUGUUCCAUAUGGUACUACAAAUUUCAGAUGCAUGCCAGUAAGUUAGAGAUGGCCUCUCUCAAAAACAUAUUGUGGUGUAGUAACUAGAGAAUUUUCUCCAUAACAGGAACCUGGCAGUACAACCCAUUGACCCAGGACGAGUGGUUUUUUUAAGUGCAUUUUGUCUCACCUCCAGUGCCAACUGCAGACAUACUUUCUGACAACCUGAAAAAGAUUACUUUAACCAGGAAAAAAAAAUAAGGGAUGUGAGAGCAGAGAAAGAAGUGCAGCUUUUCUUGUGCUGUGACCAUUUCUUAACUUUGAGUGAAAAAGCACUUUCAAUUUUCCCAUGGUAUUAGUCUAAUUUGUCUGAAGAUCUGUUUGUGAUUUGUGGAAGAUGUUCGUUAAAGCUAAUGUAAAAGGUAAUACUGGGAUUUAAUCCUCAGGGCUUUAGCAAAUAACCACUAUCUUUUAAUAGGAAAUGGGUGGCAUGUUGGUUGUCAACUCUAAUUUCUCCUCUAGUCUGAAAUCUUAUCCAUACUUUUUCUAUUACCCAAUACUACUAACUUCUACAGAAACACAGUAUCUGCUUUUUGCGCAGGACAAAUGCAAAACGUCAAACCUUCAGCUGAGGUUCCUCAUCUUUUAGAAGAGCAUCUGGUAAAGCAUCAAAGCAGAGGACAAAGUUAACAUUUGAAAAGGCACUCUCAGAACACCCAUUGCUCCUGUGGUUUGUGCAUUAUACUAUUUUCCAAGAGAUCUGGAUUUGAUGUCUUGUCCUUUGCUUUCUGGGGUGAGGAAAGCUCUGAGCCCUUUGAGAGUGGUGAGGGGCAUUCAAUAAGGAAAGAAGGGACCUACGGCGAAGAUCAAAACACCAAAACAAUACACAGAAAAAACAAGAGAGAGCCAAGAAGACUCAAUCCUACGGUACCUAACAAUAAUUUUUUAAGGCAUGAGUUUGUCCAAUGUGUUGUUUAUUCAUCCAAUUUAUUAUAAUGAUGAACAGCUUUAAAAUUGGAGUAGAACGCUAAUUCAUACUUUAUGUAUAAAAGAAAUGAUAGGCAGCUGUGAACCAGAGGGGCACUGGGGGAGGUCUCAGACUGUACAAGCAAAGGAAUAUGACUUGGUGUCUCUGUUAGCAAUGAGAAGUUAUAUAUUGCAAAUUAAGUAGUUCUUCCUACUACUUAACGAAAGCUGAGCACAUGUGACUGCUAUUGUCAUGCCAUAAUCAAUGUGAUGUGAAUUUGGCCUGUACUUACACUGAGCUGGAGGAGUUUUUCAGUGCUUUUGAGAACAGGAAUAGGAGUGGACUGAAGCUUCUCACUAGUCCUAAACCAGGCAACCAGCAGGCACAUUGGCUCAGAGGCAUCGUAAGAAGCAGAAAAAAAAUGAAGGCUAUUAAUGUCACAGCACUAUUGAAAUGAAAUAGUAGUAUGGAUCUACUGACCCUCAGAGGACCAGCCAAAGGCAGAGUGGUAAAUCUUUGCCUUUUAGCCCAAGAAUGGCAAGUUGCUCCAAGCAGGUGACUCCAUACUUUUGUGCCUGAGCAACAUGCAUGACAGAGACAUAGUUUGGAUUCACUGUGGUCUUUAAAGCAGUAUUCACUGUAGUUCUACAGAGACAAAGUACAGAGGAGCUCUACCACGGGCUAAUGCAACCAGCACUUCAUCCUUACUGCUGGGCAUUUGUGGUAACAUCAGACACACUGAAAGAAACACAGAAGCAUUGGCACCUCAAUUUCCACACCAAAAAACCUAUGCCAUACACACAAAAAAGAUAUGAAAACCAGAACAUAUAUUCCAACAAAAGACAAAUCCACAUGCAGCUUACCUGAACUUAAGCACUGGUGCAAAAAUGCAUCUCAUCCCACAUUCAGUAAAAGGUUGAGCUGCAGGUGUGAAUCACAUAGGUGACUGCAAGGGCAGAUUACAAAUGGGCACAUGUUGAGGCUGUGGUUUUGCACCACAUAUGUAAUAAGAGUGCAGUUUGCACAGAACGGUGUGAAAUUUUGCCAGUGCAACUUAAUCCAGGUUGGUUGUUUGAAUGGAAAAGAGACUGCAGGGAAUGUAGACCAACAUCUAAUACAUCCAGUGAUGAGCAGGGAAGAAGAUUUUAAGUGGGGGAGAAAAAAACCAAACACAACCUCAUGUUUUAUAUUUUAGAAGAAGUCUUCAUUCUCAAAACCAUUCAGGAAAUCCUGCUGGACAUAUAACCAUAGACUCCCUCACUCUUUUUACAAGAGGUUUUAAAAUACCUCAGUAGUUAUUUAUGAACCAAACAAUAAUUCAGGACAAAUGUCCAUUGCCAGUCAGACCCUAAUCUUGCCUACAUACAAAACCUAACUGUAAACCCACUCAAGAAUAGGCCAGUGAUGGCUGUCAGACUACAUCUGGGAACAGAAGAUGUGCCCUGGUAACAACAUCCCCAGACCUACCUCAGCAGUACUGCCUUGGUGCAGCAGCAACAGUCUCCUGGCUCCAUGGUGGAUGAAAGCCUGAUGCUAACCCCAAACUCGAACAUAACAUGAGGCCUGGCUCUACUAUGAGCUGUGAAGUGAUCACACGGUGAUUCAUGACCACUGCUAGUCCCAAACCUUCUCACAUCUAUAUGAUCUACUUCAGCUACAAGACUAAAACUGGAUUAACAAACACUUGCAAUUCAGGGAAAAUGCUCAGCACUGUGUUUAUAGUGAGAAUUGGGGUUAGAGAUAGGCCUAGGACAACAUGAGGAUAACUGAUGGCUUCCUGAGAGGUGUCCUAUCUAGAUAUGGAAUUAAUAUGAUGGAAGCAUGUACUGAAAAGCCUGACAGAGCCGACCGUUUUUAUCUACUAUUUUGUAUAGUAGGUUUGGAUUUGGGGUUAAAGUGUGAAGCAUGAGUUAUGACUGGAUCUAAUUGGGUUUGCUUAGGUUUACAACCCUUGCUAUGUUAGUCUUUUACUUCAGCAUUAAUUAGACGUGCUGUCAGGAUAAUGUAUCAUUUGAUGACAAAUGCUGAUGAACUUGAGUAAGCAAAUUUUUAGAACAAGAGCUGGGCUAAGGUGGUAAUGGGACCAGCCCAGACCUCACAGCCACCAGACACAUGUCAGUUCUAGCUGUGGCAGCUACUUCUGAGGGAAAAUAAAAACAGAGAAAAUACAAAAGAUUAAAGGAGAACUCUGCCCAGAGUCAGCUGGGAAAAGCAGCAUCAAGGUCCCAGACCACAGUCAUCCUCUGGGACUCUCUCCAGAGCAGCAGCUGGUGAGCAUGAGAAUGAUUUUCAAGAUGCUUUUCCUCUUGUAGACUUUAUUUUCCAUUGGGACCCAUUCAAACUCUUCAUUGAGAGUUCCUGUUUAUGAUGGUAUUGGUGCCGAUCAGAGUGCGCUAAUCAAACACAAAUGUUUCAACACUGGCAAUAAUAAUUACUAUUGCCUACUUUGUUGUGCACUGUUUGGUUUUCUCCAAUACAAAUUAGCAUUUACAAACCAAAAGGCAAAGAAAAAGAGGGGAGAGGAGGUCAAUUCCCCCAGCAGGGAAGCUACUUCCCAUGAGGACCUGUCUUGACAACUUUGCCAGGAUUUGCAGGUGCAAGGACAUGAAAAUAACAGCACAAGAACAAUAGCAUAAAAACAAUUAAAGAAAAAUAUUGCCAAAGGGAGUCUGGAAAACACUGUCUGAAUGACUUCAGGAGAAGAUUUUGGAGCUGCAAAUGGCAGGCCCUUAGUGUUAUGAAGACUAGUGCAAUGGGGUACUUAAGGCAGCACACGUGUGAGACAAGUACUGUUUUGUAGCAGGGUGACAAGCCCUGGAAAUGUCCGUGGAUCUCCCUGAGGGCUCCCAAGCCUUUACAAGAACAGACUGUCAGUAAGGGAUAUAAACAGCAUUCUGCUGCAGCAGGCAGGGAGGGACCUGUAGGUCUGUGAUGGGUCAGAAACAGUUCAUUCUAGUAGAUCAAGGAUUUUCUGAAUUGGGCCAGGCUAGCUUAGAUGUAGGUAUUCCCAAAGAAGUCCCUAAGGGCUUCUUCAGUACUUACUCCUGAGCCUAGCAGGCGUCACUGCUCCUGACCAAAAGGCAGGCUGGAUUUGGGUGUUUCAUUGAGACUGGAAUGGGUCAGUGGGUUAUAUCUAGGGACUGCUGACAUUUUCUUUCCAGGGAUUUAAUCUUCAUCUGGUUUUCCUUUAAAAAAAGAAAUUAAAAGAAAAUAAAAUCAAUCUAGG
Gallus gallus (chicken) is the source of this 14435-nucleotide long non-coding RNA. The record is from Ensembl. Lineage: Eukaryota; Metazoa; Chordata; Aves; Galliformes; Phasianidae.